This 1390-nucleotide ribosomal RNA is filed under the name seawater metagenome. Its description in RNAcentral is "bacterial LSU rRNA". It matches the Rfam family "Bacterial large subunit ribosomal RNA", at positions 1117 to 2487 of the family's 2925-position model. The record is from RNAcentral.
CAUCCUUUAAAGAAAGCGUAAUAGCUCACUAGUCGAGUCGGCCUGCGCGGAAGAUAUAACGGGGCUAAACUGAUAACCGAAGCUGUGGAUGCGCAUUUAUGCGCAUGGUAGAGGAGCGUUCUGUAAGCCGUUGAAGGUGAAUCGUAAGGUUUGCUGGAGGUAUCAGAAGUGCGAAUGCUGACAUGAGUAACGAUAAGGGGGGUGAAAAACCCCCCCGCCGAAAGAUCAAGGUUUCCUGUCCAACGUUAAUCGGGACAGGGUGAGUCGGCACCUAAGGCGAGGGCGAAGGCCGUAGUCGAUGGAAAAUCGGUUAAAAUUCCGAUACCGAUUCUUACUGCGAUGGAGGGACGGAGCAGGCUAGGCUAGCACGGCGUUGGUAGUCCGUGUUUAAGCGUGUAGGUAGGGGGAUUAGGUAAAUCCGGUUCCCUGUUGAUCUGAGACGUGAUGACGAUCUCUUGGGGCAACCCUUGAGAGAAGUAGUUGAUGCCAUACUUCCAGGAAAAUCUUCUAAGCUUCAGGUAAGAAUUGACCGUACUGUAAACCGACACAGGUGAUCAGGUAGAGAAUACCAAGGCGCUUGAGAGAACUUGGGUGAAGGAACUAGGCAAAAUGGUACCGUAACUUCGGGAGAAGGUACGCUCUCUUUGGUGAUCGGACUUGCUCCGUAAGCUGAGGAGAGUCGAAGUGACCAGGUGGCUGCAACUGUUUAUUAAAAACAUAGCACUCUGCAAACUCGUGAGAGGAAGUAUAGGGUGUGACGCCUGCCCGGUGCCGGAAGGUUAAUUGAUGGGGUUAUCUUCGGAGAAGCUCUUGAUCGAAGCCCCGGUAAACGGCGGCCGUAACUAUAACGGUCCUAAGGUAGCGAAAUUCCUUGUCGGGUAAGUUCCGACCUGCACGAAUGGCGUAAUGAUGGCCACGCUGUCUCCACCCAAGACUCAGUGAAAUUGAAAUCGCUGUUAAGAUGCAGUGUACCCGCGGCUAGACGGAAAGACCCCGUGAACCUUUACUAUAGCUUCACACUGGACUUUGACCUUACUUGUGUAGGAUAGGUGGGAGACUUUGAAGCGUGAUCGCUAGAUUGCGUGGAGUCAUCCUUGAAAUACCACCCUGGUAAUGUUGAGGUUCUAACUUGGCUCCUGAAACGGGAGUGAGGACAGUGUGUGGUGGGUAGUUUGACUGGGGCGGUCUCCUCCUAAAGAGUAACGGAGGAGCACGAAGGUACCCUAAGAGCGGUCGGAAAUCGCUCGUUUAGUGUAAUGGCAUAAGGGUGCUUGACUGCGAGAGUGACAACUCGAGCAGGUGCGAAAGCAGGUCAUAGUGAUCCGGUGGUUCUGAAUGGAAGGGCCAUCGCUCAACGGAUAAAAGGUACUCCGGGGAUAACAGGCUGAUA